CCUACGGGUGGCAGCAGUGAGGAAUAUUGGUCAAUGGACGAGAGUCUGAACCAGCCAAGUCGCGUGAAGGAUGACUGCCCUAUGGGUUGUAAACUUCUUUUAUAUGGGAAUAAAAUGUUCCACGUGUGGGAUUUUGUAUGUACCAUAUGAAUAAGGAUCGGCUAACUCCGUGCCAGCAGCCGCGGUAAUACGGAGGGUACGAGCGUUAUCCGGAUUUAUUGGGUUUAAAGGGAGCGUAGGUGGAUUGUUAAGUCAGUUGUGAAAGUUUGCGGCUCAACCGUAAAAGUGCAGUUGAAACUGGCAGUCUUGAGUACAGUAGAGGUGGGCGGAAUGCGUGGUGUAGCGGUGAAAUGCUUAGAUAUCACGAAGAACUCCGAUUGCGAAGGCAGUUCACUGGACUGCAACUGACACUGAGGCUCGAAAGUGUGGGUAUCAAACAGGAUUAGAUACCCCUGUAGUC
RNAcentral lists this ribosomal RNA (460 nucleotides) under uncultured bacterium. Its description in RNAcentral is "partial 16S ribosomal RNA". It matches the Rfam family "Bacterial small subunit ribosomal RNA", at positions 338 to 795 of the family's 1533-position model. The record is from RNAcentral.